AACGAACGUUGGCGGCGUGGAUUAGGCAUGCAAGUCGAGCGAGAUUUUACCUUUUCAAUCUUUCGGGAGAGAAGUUGGUAAUGAGAGCGGCGAACGGGUGAGUAAUAUAUGGGUAAUUUGCCUCUUUGUUCGGGAUAGCCAUCGGAAACGAUGAUUAAUACCGGAUGUGAUUAGCUGCUGCAUAGUAGCCUGUUUAAAGGCGGGGAAUCUUCGGAUCCUGUCACAAAGAGAUAAGCCCGUAUCCUAUCAGCUUGUUGGUGAGGUAAUGGCUCACCAAGGCUUACGGGUAGCCGGCCUGAGAGGGUGAUCGGCCACACUGGGACUGAGACACUGCCCAG
Molecule: ribosomal RNA, 338 nt
Filed under: uncultured bacterium
Lineage: Bacteria
Description: bacterial SSU rRNA
Rfam family: Bacterial small subunit ribosomal RNA
Source: RNAcentral